This 520-nucleotide ribosomal RNA is filed under the name uncultured bacterium. RNAcentral's name for it is "bacterial SSU rRNA". It matches the Rfam family "Bacterial small subunit ribosomal RNA", at positions 120 to 674 of the family's 1533-position model. The record is from RNAcentral.
GGGAAUCUGCCCCUUGGUUCGGAAUAACAGUUGGAAACGACUGCUAAUACCGGAUGAUGACGUAAGUCCAAAGAUUUAUCGCCGAGGGAUGAGCCCGCGUAGGAUUAGGUAGUUGGUGUGGUAAAGGCGCACCAAGCCGACGAUCCUUAGCUGGUCUGAGAGGAUGAUCAGCCACACUGGGACUGAGACACGGCCCAGACUCCUACGGGAGGCAGCAGUGGGGAAUAUUGGACAAUGGGCGAAAGCCUGAUCCAGCAAUGCCGCGUGAGUGAUGAAGGCCUUAGGGUUGUAAAGCUCUUUUACCCGGGAUGAUAAUGACAGUACCGGGAGAAUAAGCUCCGGCUAACUCCGUGCCAGCAGCCGCGGUAAUACGGAGGGAGCUAGCGUUAUUCGGAAUUACUGGGCGUAAAGCGCACGUAGGCGGCUUUGUAAGUAAGAGGUGAAAGCCCAGAGCUCAACUCUGGAAUUGCCUUUUAGACUGCAUCGCUUGAAUCAUGGAGAGGUCAGUGGAAUUCCGAGU